UACGGAGGGUGCAAGCGUUAUCCGGAUUCACUGGGUUUAAAGGGUGCGUAGGUGGAUUGGUAAGUCAGUGGUGAAAUCCCCGAGCUUAACUUGGGAACUGCCAUUGAUACUAUUGGUCUUGAAUACCGUGGAGGUCAGCGGAAUAUGUCAUGUAGCGGUGAAAUGCUUAGAUAUGACAUAGAACACCAAUUGCGAAGGCAGCUGGCUACACGAAUAUUGACACUGAGGCACGAAAGCGUGGGGAUCAAACAGGAUUAGAAACCCCGUGUC
This 270-nucleotide ribosomal RNA is filed under the name uncultured bacterium. Its description in RNAcentral is "partial 16S ribosomal RNA". It matches the Rfam family "Bacterial small subunit ribosomal RNA", at positions 524 to 795 of the family's 1533-position model. The record is from RNAcentral.